This 445-nucleotide ribosomal RNA is filed under the name uncultured bacterium. RNAcentral describes it as "bacterial SSU rRNA". It matches the Rfam family "Bacterial small subunit ribosomal RNA", at positions 354 to 796 of the family's 1533-position model. The record is from RNAcentral.
GUAGGGAAUAUUGGGCAAUGGAUGCAAGUCUGACCCAGCCAUGCCGCGUGGAGGAAGAAGGUCCUCUGGAUUGUAAACUCCUUUUUUGGGGGAAGAAUAGUUCUCUUGCGAGGGAAUGUGACGGUACCCUAAGAAUAAGCCACGGCUAACUACGUGCCAGCAGCCGCGGUAAUACGUAGGUGGCAAGCGUUGUCCGGAUUUAUUGGGUUUAAAGGGUGCGUAGGUGGUUUGAUAAGUCAGUGGUGAAAGCUGGUUGCUCAACAAUCAAGUUGCCAUUGAUACUGUCGGACUUGAGAGAAGUGGAGGUUCAUGGAAUGGAUGGUGUAGCGGUGAAAUGCAUAGAUAUCAUCCAGAACGUCGAUUGCGAAGGCAGUGGGCUGUACUUUAUCUGACACUGAGGCACGAAAGUGUGGGGAUCAAACAGGAUUAGAAACCCGGGUAGUCC